GAUGAAGAACGCAGCGAAAUGCGAUACGUAAUGUGAAUUGCAAAUUCAGUGAAUCAUCGAGUCUUUGAACGCACAUUGCGCCCCCUGGUAUUCCGGGGGGCAUGCCUGUCCGAGCGUCAUUGCUGCCCUCAAGCACGGCUUGUGUGUUGGGCCCCGUCCUCCGAUCCCGGGGGACGGGCCCGAAAGGCAGCGGCGGCACCGCGUCCGGUCCUCGAGCGUAUGGGGCUUUGUCACCCGCUCUGUAGGCCCGGCCGGCGCUUGCCGAUCAACCCAAAUUUUUAUCCAGGUUGACCUCGGAUCAGGUAGGGAUACCCGCUGAACUUAAGCAUAUCAAUAAGAGGA
This 342-nucleotide unclassified non-coding RNA is filed under the name soil metagenome. RNAcentral's name for it is "partial contains 5.8S ribosomal RNA, internal transcribed spacer 2, and large subunit ribosomal RNA". The stretch from base 1 to 119 matches the Rfam family "5.8S ribosomal RNA", at positions 35 to 154 of the family's 154-position model. The record is from RNAcentral.